RNAcentral lists this transfer RNA (71 nucleotides) under Bos taurus (domestic cattle). It matches the Rfam family "tRNA". Rfam says of the family: Transfer RNA (tRNA) molecules are approximately 80 nucleotides in length. Their secondary structure includes four short double-helical elements and three loops (D, anti-codon, and T loops). Further hydrogen bonds mediate the characteristic L-shaped molecular structure. tRNAs have two regions of fundamental functional importance: the anti-codon, which is responsible for specific mRNA codon recognition, and the 3' end, to which the tRNAs corresponding amino acid is attached (by aminoacyl-tRNA synthetases). tRNAs cope with the degeneracy of the genetic code in two manners: having more than one tRNA (with a specific anti-codon) for a particular amino acid; and 'wobble' base-pairing, i.e. permitting non-standard base-pairing at the 3rd anti-codon position. The record is from Rfam by way of RNAcentral. RNAcentral also lists the same sequence under 3 other names. Lineage: Eukaryota; Metazoa; Chordata; Mammalia; Artiodactyla; Bovidae.
UUCCUGGUGGCUUGGUGGUAAAGAAUCUGCCUGCAAUGCAGGAGACCCGGGUUCUAUCCCUGGGUGGGGAA